This 1009-nucleotide long non-coding RNA is filed under the name Sus scrofa (pig). RNAcentral's name for it is "lncRNA (ENSSSCG00000054679.1)". Lineage: Eukaryota; Metazoa; Chordata; Mammalia; Artiodactyla; Suidae. The record is from RNAcentral.
ACAAAAAGAAACGGUAUCGUGUUGAGGAAGGAAACAAGCUUUAUUAGAGCAAAGGGAAAUAAAUCCUGGGCUUGUCAGUGGUACAGAUGAACUCCAGAGGCUCUGGGCCUGUCUGUCGUCGCCAGAGGUUGGGUAACCAGCUCUGCGUAGCGGGGCGACCUCAGAUGCCGGCCAGUAGGGAGAGUGGGUGACUUACAGGGAAGGAAAACUGAAAACAGCCGAGAGCUUUCUAUCUCUCUAUCUCUCUAUCUCUCUAUCUUGAUUCUAUCAAAGAAUCAAGGACCCGGAAGUCGUGGUGUAACAGUGUGGGAGGCAGCUGGGCCGGAAGGAUGCUCGUUCCCCUUUACGAGCCCACAUUCGACCUGUAGCCUGAAGUCGUGUGACUGUCGUGUGGCUGAGUGGCACGUUGAAGAUGAAAGAUUUGACAGUGGCUGAGGACAGAGGCGGGACUUCGGUAUGUGGAGUGAGUGCGGAAGUGGGACACUCUCUCCUCUAAGACAAGAAUACACUGGGCAGAGGUGUCAAAAAACAACCACUGCAGGACUCAGGAAGUACAACAGCUGCCAGCGUCAAAUUGAGAAGCGUUUUGCCUCGAGCUGUGGUGUGGGUCCCACAUGCAGCUUGGAUCUGGUGUGGCUGUGGCUGUGGCCAGCAGCUGCAGCUCCGAGGUGACCCCUAGCCUGGGAAUUUCCAGAUGCCGCAGGUAAGGCCAUAAAAACUGCUACUGCCACCGCCACCACUACCACUACUACUAAAUUGAGAAGCAUCUGGAGUUCCUGUCGUGGCGCAGUGGUUGACGAAUCCGACUAGGAACCAUAAGAUUUCGGGUUCGGUCCCUGCCCUUGCUCAGUGGGUUAACGAUCCGGCAUUGCUGUGAGCUGUGGUGUAGGUUGCAGACGCGGCUCGGAUCCCGCGUUGCUGUGGCUCUGGUGUAGGCCUGUGGCUACAGCUCCAAUUAGACCCCUAGCCUGGGAAUCUCCAUAUGCCGCGAGAGCGGCCGAAGAAAUAG